UUACCUACGGGGGGCAGCAGUGGGGAAUUUUCCGCAAUGGGCGAAAGCCUGACGGAGCAAUGCCGCGUGGAGGUGGAAGGCCUACGGGUCGUCAACUUCUUUUCUCGGAGAAGAAACAAUGACGGUAUCUGAGGAAUAAGCAUCGGCUAACUCUGUGCCAGCAGCCGCGGUAAGACAGAGGAUGCAAGCGUUAUCCGGAAUGAUUGGGCGUAAAGCGUCUGUAGGUGGCUUUUCAAGUCCGCCGUCAAAUCCCAGGGCUCAACCCUGGACAGGCGGUGGAAACUACCAAGCUGGAGUACGGUAUG
RNAcentral lists this ribosomal RNA (305 nucleotides) under uncultured bacterium. RNAcentral's name for it is "bacterial SSU rRNA". It matches the Rfam family "Bacterial small subunit ribosomal RNA", at positions 335 to 655 of the family's 1533-position model. The record is from RNAcentral.